CCAGAUGCUUCCUGCCCUCGAACAUCGGACUGCAAGUUCUUCAACUUUUGGACUCUAGGACCUACACCAGUGGUUUGCCAGGGGCCCCCUGGCCUUUGGCCACAGACUGAGGGCUACACUGUUAGCUUCCAUAUUUUUGAGGUUUUGGGACUCAGACUGGCUUCCUUGCUCCUCAGCUUGCAGACGGCCUAUUGUGGGACAUCACCUUGUGAUCAUCAAUUCGACUGUCCAGACGUCUCUACAUUUCUGAGCUUUUCUGCUGUUUGCCUUCGUCUCAUGUACUUAGAAAUUUGAAGACAUUUUAAAGGUAUGCUCAGCAGAAUGUGAGACACUAAGUUCAUCGUUUCUUUCCACUGCAAUUCCGGCUUACCAAGUAUCUUGCAUGGAUGUUCAAUUUCUUGCAAUGGGUAAAGAGUCUGAAAAUGCCCUGAAGGAAAAAGGAACAGCUGGUUGACUUCCUGAGUGUUGUCCUGCUUCUCCAAGAUUUUGUCCCCUCAAGACCUGUCUUUUCAUUAAUUCUUCAGUGCCCCUUAGGUUGCUCCUCUUCCUCCUUGCUUUGUUUCCUGUUUUUUAAUUUUUAUUUUAAAAUUUAAUUUUUUUUUUUUCUAUUUCCCCAAGAACUAGGGGUGCAUGGGUCUGAUUUUAAGUGCUCCAUCAAAGAUGGAAGAGGAAGUCCAAAAGUACUUGACUUUGAAUUCAUGCAGAAACAAAUUAACAUUCCAUUAUAGGGUUUACUGUGAAAGUAACUUACUCUUUUUUUAACAGUGCAAAAUCCUUUACUUAUAAUUUACAAAUUGUAAUUGAAGGUAUAUUAUUUUAGUCACAUAUGUGAAAAAUGCUUAGCACGUGACUCAAUAAAUUUAAAAAAACUAAAUAAAUACCCUUUUUUGAAUGAAAUAUUUAAUAAAAUGCAUAAGUUACUGAAAAAC
RNAcentral lists this long non-coding RNA (929 nucleotides) under Homo sapiens (human). Its description in RNAcentral is "HSALNT0011792". Lineage: Eukaryota; Metazoa; Chordata; Mammalia; Primates; Hominidae. The record is from RNAcentral.